Molecule: ribosomal RNA, 492 nt
Filed under: uncultured bacterium
Lineage: Bacteria
Description: partial 16S ribosomal RNA
Rfam family: Bacterial small subunit ribosomal RNA
Source: RNAcentral
AGUGAACGCUGGCGGUAGGCCUAACACAUGCAAGUCGAACGGCAGCACAGUAAGAGCUUGCUCUUACGGGUGGCGAGUGGCGGACGGGUGAGGAAUACAUCGGAAUCUACUUUUUCGUGGGGGAUAACGUAGGGAAACUUACGCUAAUACCGCAUACGGCCUACGGGUGAAAUCAGGGGAUCUUCGGACCUUGCGCGAUUGAAUGAGCCGAUGUCGGAUUAGCUAGUUGGCGGGGUAAAGGCCCACCAAGGCGACGAUCCGUAGCUGGUCUGAGAGGAUGAUCAGCCACACUGGAACUGAGACACGGUCCAGACUCCUACGGGAGGCAGCAGUGGGGAAUAUUGGACAAUGGGCGCAAGCCUGAUCCAGCCAUACCGCGUGGGUGAAGAAGGCCUUCGGGUUGUAAAGCCCUUUUGUUGGGAAAGAAAAGCAGCAGGUUAAUACCCCGCUGUUCUGACGUUACCCAAAGAAUAAGCACCGGCUAACUUCGUG